RNAcentral lists this ribosomal RNA (468 nucleotides) under uncultured bacterium. RNAcentral's name for it is "partial 16S ribosomal RNA". It matches the Rfam family "Bacterial small subunit ribosomal RNA", at positions 28 to 507 of the family's 1533-position model. The record is from RNAcentral.
GACGAACGCUGGCGGCGUGCUUAACACAUGCAAGUCGAACGGAAAGGCCCUGCUUUUGUGGGGCGCUCGAGUGGCGAACGGGUGAGUAACACGUGAGUAACAUGUACCUGACUUAGGGGUAUAUUCAGGAAACAGGGGCUCUUACCGCAUAGGAUCUCUUGCUGCAUGGUGGGGGUUGGAAAGAUUCGGCUGUUGGGGAUGGACUGGCGGCUUAUCAGCUUGUUGGUGGGGUAGUGGCUUACAAAGUUUAUGACGGGUAGCCGGCCUGGGAGGGGGGCCGGCCACAUGAGUACUGAGAUAAGGCCCAGACUCGAACCGGACGCAACGGUGGGGAGUCUUACACAGGGGGCGGGAGCGAGAUGUGGCAACGCUGCGAGCGGGAAGACGGGUUUCUGGUGGUGAACCGAUGUCGCCUGUGACGAGGCGAGAGUGACGGUAAUGGGUAAAGAAGCACCGGCUAACUACGUG